Molecule: ribosomal RNA, 253 nt
Filed under: uncultured bacterium
Lineage: Bacteria
Description: partial 16S ribosomal RNA
Rfam family: Bacterial small subunit ribosomal RNA
Source: RNAcentral
UACGUAGGGUGCAGGCGUUAAUCGGAAUUACUGGGCGUAAAGCGUGCGCAGGCGGUUUCUUAAGUCAGAUGUGAAAUCCCCGGGCUUAACCUGGGAACUGCGUUUGAAACUGGGAGACUUGAGUGUGGCAGAGGGGGGUGGAAUUCCACGUGUAGCAGUGAAAUGCGUAGAUAUGUGGAGGAACACCAAUGGCGAAGGCAGCCCCCUGGGUCAACACUGACGCUCACGCACGAAAGCGUGGGGAGCAAACAGG